AUUGAACGCUGGCGGCAUGCUUUACACAUGCAAGUCGAACGGCAGCACGGGUGCUUGCACCUGGUGGCGAGUGGCGGACGGGUGAGUAAUGCAUCGGAACGUGUCCUAAAGUGGGGGAUAACGCAUCGAAAGAUGUGCUAAUACCGCAUAUUCUCUGAGGAGGAAAGUAGGGGAUCGAAAGACCUUAUGCUUUUGGAGCGGCCGAUGUCUGAUUAGCUAGUUGGUAAGGUAAUGGCUUACCAAGGCGACGAUCAGUAGUUGGUCUGAGAGGACGACCAGCCACACUGGGACUGAGACACGGCCCAGACUCCUACGGGAGGCAGCAGUGGGGAAUUUUGGACAAUGGGCGCAAGCCUGAUCCAGCAAUGCCGCGUGAGUGAAGAAGGCCUUCGGUGUAAGACUCUUCAGUUGAAAGAAAGAACGUAGACUAAUAAUACAUGGUUCAUGACGGUAGUCAACAGAAGAAGACACCGGCUAACUACGUACG
RNAcentral lists this ribosomal RNA (487 nucleotides) under uncultured bacterium. RNAcentral describes it as "bacterial SSU rRNA". It matches the Rfam family "Bacterial small subunit ribosomal RNA", at positions 30 to 509 of the family's 1533-position model. The record is from RNAcentral.